ACUAUGAUUGGAAAAUAUAACUA
This 23-nucleotide small RNA is filed under the name Plasmodium falciparum 3D7. RNAcentral's name for it is "Pfa-mtR37b". Lineage: Eukaryota; Apicomplexa; Aconoidasida; Haemosporida; Plasmodiidae. The record is from RNAcentral.